AGAAAGAAAGAACCUAUUGGUACCAAUCUACACAGGAUAAUUUGUAUAUUGAUACAAAUACAGAACCAUAUUGUUGUAAGGUAGGAAAUGUCGCCCGAGAGAGGGCAAGGAUACGCUAUUCUGUGUGCUGAGUGCAAACUGCUCUUUCGUCUGCCUAGGACGACUUAACACAAGGGCUUGCCAUCGGCAGGGGAUGAGCUGAGGCACAGUUCCUGACACAUCCCAGGUCUGUGGCGUCAUCCACAGGAGUAAGCCAGGCACCAGUGCUGGCCACACCUACUAGCACUGUGUCCAGAGUCACACAGGAUGGAGACAUCUGCCCAACACACAUUCCUGCUUCAUUUGAGGAGAAAUCAACGAAUCUGUGUCUUCUCUCCAGAGAACUUACCAUCCCACAGCUGCACGGCAGGAACUUCCAAAAGACUCAGGAAUGACAACCAUGCGGUCCGGACUCCAGAGUGUCCCCUGAAGAGUUGUCAUGAAAUGCGUACGGACAACGACCCAGCCCUCUCCACACUUAGAACGUCUGUGUCAAGCCAAGAUGGUUCCUGUGUCUAGAAUUCUGAAUUCUGCAGGCCAGAGCAGCUUCUUGAGGAAGCAAAACUCUGACGGUACAAAAGACCUCUACAUUGUCUGCGGGGACUUGAACGACCGGGCCAGAGGAACAAGGGGAAUAACGAUGGUGUCCCCUCCUCUUCUUCCUCCUCCUUCCUCUUUGUCUGUGUGAACCGCGUUCCUGUGGCUCAGGCUGCCUUUGUUGGCCUUCCGCUCCCCCCACUCCAGCCCUGAGGGCUAAGACCACAGGGCAGAAGUCUGACUUUGGAAAUGCGCAUGCUGCCUGUGCAAACACCUUACUCACCCCCUCAUUUUCCCAGAGGACACUGCUGGUGGCAAAGGCUAGCCCUAACCUGGAGCGCCUGGACCUGGAGCUGCUGAAGCAGUGACCUCCGAGGACCCCUGUCCCAUCAUGUUUCUACCUACCACAAGUAUUUCAUUUGCACUGCCCCCCAAAUACAUUUCAUCAAGGUU
This is a non-coding RNA of Peromyscus maniculatus bairdii (prairie deer mouse), 1029 nucleotides long. The record is from RefSeq and is a predicted model, not a curated record. NCBI's taxonomy places the organism in Eukaryota, Metazoa, Chordata, Mammalia, Rodentia, Cricetidae.